GACGGGGACCCGCACAAGCGGUGGAUGAUGUGGUUUAAUUCGAUGCAACGCGAAAACCUUACCUACCUUUGACAUGUACGGAAUUCGCCAGAGAUGGCUUAGUGCUCGAAAGAGAACCGUAACACAGGGUGCUGCAUGGCUGUCGUCAGCUCGUGUCGUGAGAUGUUGGGUUAAGUCCCGCAACGAGCGCAACCCUUGUCAUUAGUUGCUACAUUUAGUUGGGCACUCUAAUGAGACUGCCGGUGACAAACCGGAGGAAGGUGGGGAUGACGUCAAGUCCUCAUGGCCCUUAUAGGUAGGGCUACACACGUCAUACAAUGGAUGGUACAAAGGGUCGCCAACCCGCGAGGGGGAGCCAAUCCCAUAAAACCAUUCGUAGUCCGGAUCGCAGUCUGCAACUCGACUGCGUGAAGUCGGAAUCGCUAGUAAUCGUGGAUCAGCACGCCGCGGUGAAUACGUUCCCGGGCCUU
RNAcentral lists this ribosomal RNA (470 nucleotides) under uncultured Polaromonas sp. RNAcentral's name for it is "bacterial SSU rRNA". It matches the Rfam family "Bacterial small subunit ribosomal RNA", at positions 912 to 1382 of the family's 1533-position model. The record is from RNAcentral. Lineage: Bacteria; Pseudomonadati; Pseudomonadota; Betaproteobacteria; Burkholderiales; Comamonadaceae.